CCUACGGGAGGCAGCAGUGAGGAAUAUUGGUCAAUGGCCGAGAGGCUGAACCAGCCAAGUCGCGUGAGGGAAGACGGCCCUACGGGUUGUACACCUCUUUUGUCGGGGAGCAAAGAGAGUCACGUGUGACUCAUUGAGAGUACCCGAAGAAAAAGCAUCGGCUAACUCCGUGCCAGCAGCCGCGGUAAUACGGGGGAUGCGAGCGUUAUCCGGAUUUAUUGGGUUUAAAGGGUGCGCAGGCGGAGGUGCAAGUCCGCGGUCAAAUUGCGGGGCUCAACCCCGUACUGCCGUUGAAACUGCAGCCCUUGAGUGCGCGAGAAGUAUGCGGAAUGCGUGGGGGAGCGGUGAAAUGCAUAGAUAUCACGCAGAACCCCGAUUGCGAAGGCAGCAUACCGGCGCGCAACUGACGCUCAUGCACGAAAGCGUGGGUAUCGAACAGGAUUAGAUACCCUUGUAGUC
Molecule: ribosomal RNA, 459 nt
Filed under: uncultured bacterium
Lineage: Bacteria
Description: partial 16S ribosomal RNA
Rfam family: Bacterial small subunit ribosomal RNA
Source: RNAcentral